AUACGUAGGGGGCUAGCGUUAUCCGGAGUUACUGGGCGUAAAGGGUGCGUAGGUGGUUUCUUAAGUCAGAAGUGAAGGGCUACGGCUCAACCGUAGUAAGCUUUUGAAACUAAGAGACUUGAGUGCAGGAGAGGAGAGUAGAAUUCAUAGUGUAGCGGUGAAAUGCGUAGAUAUUAGGAGGAAUACCAGUUGCGAAGGCGGCUCUCUGGACUGUAACUGACACUGAGGCACGAAAGCGUGGGGAGCAAACAGGAUUAGAUACCCUGGUAGUCCACGCCGUAAACGAUAAGUACUAGCUGUCGGGGGUUACCCCCCUCGGUGGCGCAGCUAACGCAUUAAGUACUCCGCCUGGGAAGUACGCUCGCAAGAGUGAAACUCAAAUGAAUUGGCGGGG
RNAcentral lists this ribosomal RNA (394 nucleotides) under uncultured bacterium. Its description in RNAcentral is "partial 16S ribosomal RNA". It matches the Rfam family "Bacterial small subunit ribosomal RNA", at positions 523 to 918 of the family's 1533-position model. The record is from RNAcentral.